RNAcentral lists this ribosomal RNA (274 nucleotides) under uncultured bacterium. Its description in RNAcentral is "partial 16S ribosomal RNA". It matches the Rfam family "Bacterial small subunit ribosomal RNA", at positions 523 to 796 of the family's 1533-position model. The record is from RNAcentral.
CUACGGAGGGGGUUAGCGUUGUUCGGAAUUACUGGGCGUAAAGCGCACGUAGGCGGAUUGGAAAGUUGGGGGUGAAAUCCCAGGGCUCAACCCUGGAACUGCCUCCAAAACUAACAGUCUAGAGUUCGAGAGAGGUGAGUGGAAUUCCAAGUGUAGAGGUGAAAUUCGUAGAUAUUUGGAGGAACACCAGUGGCGAAGGCGGCUCACUGGCUCGAUACUGACGCUGAGGUGCGAAAGCGUGGGGAGCAAACAGGAUUAGAUACCCUAGUAGUCC